RNAcentral lists this long non-coding RNA (396 nucleotides) under Salvia miltiorrhiza (redroot sage). RNAcentral's name for it is "long non-coding RNA (SMIL_LNC012946)". Lineage: Eukaryota; Viridiplantae; Streptophyta; Magnoliopsida; Lamiales; Lamiaceae. The record is from RNAcentral.
CCCCCUCUGUUCCGUUCACUCGUCGAUCCAACAGCGUCGGCGCCGGCCUCCGUCGUCCCACCCGCCGCCCGCCACGACCAUCGCCCAGUCCGCUGUCCACCAGGCGCCCGGGCCAACUGCCUCUGUUCCGCCCGCGGCCGGCCUCCCAACAGCAGCCAAAACUCCCUCUGUUCCGCCCGCUGCCCGUCGAUCCAGCCUCGCCGCCUCCGUCGUCCUAGCAGUUGCGCCGCCUCCGAGCAAUAGCAGACGCGCCGCCAGCCCGUCCCAGACUCCCCACUUGUACCUGUUCUUCUUCUUCUAAUCUUCUUCUUCCUCCCAACAGCAACCAUGAAAAUACUAUUUUCAAAAUAGGGGUUAGGUUUUGCGAAUUUUGACCCUGAAACCUGCAAUUUUGAC